AGGACUUUUGUCUGCAGUGAGUGCGCAUGCGCCUCUCAGCUGGGAGACCGUGGGCGGAGGUGAUACAACCUGACUGAUGAUGGCUGACAAAAGAAGAAGAAAGUAGCUGAGAACCAGCAGCUGAAGAAAGUAAGCAAUAUUGUGUUCUCUCUCUCUCUCUCUCUCUCUCUCUCUCUCUCUCUCUCUCUCAUUGUUAUCUGUUGGUUUGUUGGGGUUCUGAGAUAGACGCUCAUGUGAUUGAGGGUGGCCUUGAACUCCCCAUCCUCCUGCCUCGUCCUCCCCAGUGAUGGGAUUGGAUUAUAGGCAGGUGCGAGUGUCUCUGGGUACCAGCGUAAGAAUACAUCGACAUCUUUUCUUUCCUUUUAUCUUUCCGCGUCUUGUUUUUCCCAGUUCUUCCCUUCACAGCUGAUGUAAGUUUGCGCCAAUGCCCUUCUUACUCAUGUUGGUCACAGAUUCGGAGAAAGGAAAUUUCAAAACACCUGAAGUAGGUAGAUGUCCAGGUACAAGGGCCGAUGGACUCCACAGCUACCUGAGUUCAAAGAAUGAGUUUGCUGUUGCUCUCAUAAAGAACUGUCUUGUUUUGGUUUUAUUUAUUUUGUCUUAUGUGUAGCGAUGUUUUGCCUGCAUCAUGAUAUAUGUGCAUCAUAUAUGGCCCCACACCCAAGGAAGUCAGACGAGGCCUUCCAAUUCCCUGGAACUGGAGUUAUGGAUGUUAUGACCCACCAUGUGGGCGCUAGGAAUCAAACUAAUGUCCUGUACAAGAGCACACGUGCUUUUAACUCUGGACCGUCUCUCCAGAUGCAAGGAACUGUUUUUACAAGAAAUUUCUAGGAAUCUGGGAACUAGAAGAGAGGAAUAUCUGGUUUCUCCUUAUUAGAGUUGGUUCUACUUGGAUAGCCUCAAGUAAUGUGACCCCAAGCUAGUCAGAGGCUUCAAGGUUCAGUACAGACUUCAGGGCAGCCUGAACCCAAGCCUCAGCCAAUGACGCCCGGGCUUGAGAGCUGGGGGAUGGGGCGGGGAGGAGGACUGGCUUAUUAAGUUAGUAAGCAGGUUUUGGGAGCAGAGAUGUCAGGUGAGCUGCACUGUACAUAGAGAAGAGUCAGUUCUGUGUGGUUCUAAGUGAAAUCAAUCACGGCUCAGUUCAGCAUUCACGGUUCACCGCGAACCACUGCCAAGUGGUUUUCAGGGGACCCAACUUCACUGCAGAAAGGAGCUGUUAUUUAAAGUGGGGGCAUUAAGGCAGAAGGAGAAAAAGAAGGAAACCUCUCCUCAGGCUGCUGUUGUUCUCCUUAACCUGCCCUCAGGAGAUCACCCAGUCCCUUCCCAGAGGCGGUUUGAUGAAAAGGUAGGAGGAGAGUUUGCCUACCGGAAGCAGUAUUACUGACUGCUCCUUCCUGGGGAUUCCUAGGUCUUGGCUCUCCGGACAUAACCCCUGUCUGUCUGUCCUUCCCCGGGGUUCCUCCUUGCCGCUAUCUUUACUCUCUUCAGGGUCUUGCCCUACCCCUUGAGUAAUGAUUACACGCAAGCGCACACCGUUAACCCAUCCGGUCUUCUAAAACCCACAAGCCAUCUUGGCUAUCGCCUUUAGGCUGGUGACUCUGUCUUCGCACCAUCCACACUGUAUGCACCCACAGCAACUCUAAAGCCAUCCAUUGCUUCUUCUUCUCCCAGAUCCAACCCAUCGCCAGAUCCUGUUGACUUCGUCUUCUGAUUCUCUCUCCAGUUGUGCGCUUCUAGUCCCGUGGGGAAGGUUUUCUAUGAGGCUUGAAUCACUUCUCACCUGGAUUUCUCUGAGUUUGUUUGUUUGUUUGUUUUUGUUUUGUUUUUGUUUUUGGAGACAGGGUUUCUCUGUGUAACCCUGGCUGUCCUGGAACGCACUCUGUAGACCAGGCUGGCCUCGAACUGAGAAAUUCACCUGCCUCUGCCUUCCAAAUCCUGGGAUUAAAGGCAUGCGCCACCACUAAGGGGCUUUCACCUGGAUUCCUAAUUUCUCUGUUUCUCACCUAUUUUCUGAUCAGUCCUUGAAUCAAAGUGAUCUCUUCUGCUCUUCUUUUAACAACUUUUUAGAACAUCUGAUAGAGCCCUUUGCUAAAAAAAUUAAAAAAAAAAUUUUUAAUGUCCAGUGACAAAGCUUUUAUAACUGUGAUUGUGACAUCCCCAAAACCUUGCUUCAACCUCUAAGUCACACCAGGCUCCUUGCUUGCCUUCAAAAACACAGCGUGAUGCUUUUGUUCCGUGCCCUCUGUAGGAAAUGCUGUCUCCUGCCAGGUGGGCUCCUCCUUCACCAACCGAUCGGAUUCAUUUCUAAAGGGUGGGAUCAUCUCCAUAGAUCUACUAGGGCGCAUUAGAAGACGUACUUCAAGAACCGACUUGUACAGUUGUCUUCCUGGACAAAUGGGGGAAGACUCCUGAAAGACUUGCUAGCAUCAGCUCUCCCCGCUUCUGGUGUGCCCAGCUGUUCACCAAAUACUCAAUAAAUGCUAAUGGGUGGGAAGACAAUCAGCUUUGCACACAAAGAAGCCCUGCACCCACCAGGAAGUGCCUCCCUUUCCUGGAGAGAGCUAUUCAGGCUGGUGGAGUCUGACCCUAGAAAUCAGCCAGGAGCUGGAAUGAGGUCAAAACGCGUUCCUUUAGCUUAAAAGAACGAUCGAUCGAGAGAGUGUAGGACCAAGAGUCAAGAGUGGAUCAAAUGCGCAUGCUUGGGGAUUCUCUGAGCUUUUCCUCCCCGUGGCUAAAUUCUGACAGUACAUACAACUUUCUUCAGAACUGUAUUCUUAGGGAGCACUUGAAGAGGUUAAACUUCAGUGAACUUCCCACCCCUACCUCUGCCUCCUCCUGUCUUUUUCCUGAUUUAGUAGACAUCACUUGCACUAAGUGUAGGGAUGUUCAAGUGGUCACUAGAAAAUUCUUCCAUACCCAAAUACCUGCUGGAAAAAAUACCACACCACUGUAGUCACAGUGUAUCCAACUGGGCGUCAUAACUGCGACUCCAAUGCAGCAAUUGUUCCUCUAAAUAUUUUCUUAAGUGUAUAUAAGUAACAAAUAUACUUUUUAAUGACUGCAGGUUUUGAUCAUCGUCAAAUGACUGAGUUUCACAGCAUGGCUACCACACACCUUCUUUAUGGAAAUAACUAAGUAUUUCUAAAUGGCUUCCAUUAACAUAUAGAAAAAAAUGUUAAUUCUUUUAAAUGGCUGGUGGGGGAUGCUAUACAUACUGUCAGAAUUGAGCUUUUCCUAACAAUUCUCUAAGCACGUUAUGUUUGAAAAUGCAAUGUGUAUACAGCAGAAACUGUAUUAAGACCUAACAGGCUUUUAUAAGUUUGUCCUUCAUAAACAAUUUUAGUUUCUAAAAUAUGAGAAUGCUUUCCCUGCCAAUUCCAUAUCAAAGCUCUGAGACUUUGCAUGUCUACAGAGCAGAGUUCAUGACCUCCUGCUAACCUUGUUAACAAUCUACCAGGUUUCUAAAGGCUCAGCAGGGGUUAGAGUUAGAAGGCUCUGCCACUAACAUCAAUAACAGGAUCUGUGACAACACUUGGAGAACAUUUCCACCACGCUCACCAAGAAAGGUUCCAAACAUUCAGAGACUGAAGCGCCGACUGAAAGAAAUCUAUGGUUAGUCAUUCCAGACAGACUCUAGAGAGACACAUUUCUUCAGACCUUGUUUUUAAAAAGUGGGAGUUUUAAACUCUCUCUCUCCGUGUGUGUGUGUGUGUGUGUGUGUGUGUGUGUGUGUGUGUUAUAUUACAAUAGCCAUACUUACUAUUUUAAAGAGCUUUACCACAGACUUUUUAAAUAGCCAACCUAUGGACAAACUAUUCAUAUCUAAAUGAACUUAGAGUUCAAGUUUUUGGUUUGAUCCACAGGCAAGAAAAUAUGAGUGAAGUCACAAAUGUCACCAAGGAAAGGAAGAACAGAAAAAUAACUUGAAUAUUCAAGAUGGGCAGCCUAGUUCAACGACACAUCAAGCCUUGUGAAAAGGUGACUCCGAGGUAAGAGUUGCCUGCUCUUCCAGAGAAGCUGAGUGCCUGAGUUCAGUCCCCAGCCUGGUGACUCAUCGAACAAGUGACUGUAAUUAAUUCCAGGAGACCCACACCCUCUUCUGCCUGACAAGGUCACAAGACUUUUAGACACAAGUAGUGUACAAAUGCACACAUUUACACAUUAAUAAAAACAAUCUUUAAAGACAACAACAAAAACUUCACAUAAGACCAAAGAGAAUGCAUCUGAGUUUACAGAAACAUAUUAAGAGCUAAUUUCAAAGCAUUUGUAAACAUUUUAAUUCAAUUUCAAGACAUUUCUUAAAAUCAAAAAAUACUUUGCAACAAUAUUAAUUUAUCCAUGGAUUUUUGCAAAGCAGGAAAGUAUGUUUUCUAACCUCCUUUUAAAAACCCGUUCUUGAACUGGGCAUACUGGUACAAGCUUGAAAACCCAGUACUCAGAAGACAGAGUUAAGCAAAUUUUUGUGGGUUCAAGGCUAGCCUUGUCUACAUAGUGAGUUCCCAGAUAGCCAGGGCUAUGUAGAGACCCUGUAUAAAUAAAUAAAUAAAUAAAUAAAUAAAUAAAUAAAUAAAUAAAUAAAAUUCUCGUGUGGGCUAGAGAAAUGGCUCAACAGUUGCUGUACUUGCAGGGGUUCACAGCAUCCUGGUGGCAGCUCACAGAUGCCCGUAACUCCAGUUCUAGGGGACCCAUCGCCCUCUUCUGGCCUGCUUGAGCAGUGCAUACACAUAGCACACAGACAUACAGGCAAGCAAAAGCAUCCAUACACAUAACAUAAAUAAAGUAAAUCCUUUUUAAAAGUCUUACUCAAUUCUCUUCAUUUGCCUUCCUUCACUUCUUUUCAAAGUUGACUGCUUUGAAUGGAUGGUUGAGGUUUUAGUCUUAAAAGCAAAGGGUGUGGCCUAGUGAGAUAACUCAGUAGAUAAAGGUGCCAAUCUUGAGGACCCGAUUCAAUCCCUGGGACCUACAUGGUAGAGGGGAGAGCUGUUGUCCACAAGUUCCCCUUUAGCCUCCAUAUACAUAUAUAUGUAAAAUAAAAGUUUUGGGGCUGGAGAGCACUGACUGCUCUUCUAGAGGUCCUGAGUUCAACUCCUAGCAACCACACAGUGGCUCACAACCAUCUGUAAUGAGAUCCGAUGCCCUCUUCUGGUGUGUCUGAAGACAGUGACAGUGUACUCAUAUGCAUAAAAUAAAUAAAUCUUUUUGAAAAGUUUUGUAAAUGGAGGAUAACAUUCAAAUCUUAAGACAGGACAGUUGUUCCUUGCUCCUCAGAGGCUCACAUAUAUGAAGUAUCUGUAUUUCUCUGUAGCCUGUGGCAGGAAGACAAUGUAACAACCAUUACCAGUUCUCUGGGGCACUGCAGGCCACAUGAUGGUGAUGUCGAAGGCAGUGCUUCCUCAGUGUCAGAGUCAGCGUGGUGGCGUCUGUGCACAACCCUGGCAAGCUGGUCUUCUGCACCUUUAAUUUUGAGGAAGCUCACUGUCCGUCUGUCUAUAAUGCCAGGCCUGUUCUCCGUCCAGCUCAGCAGCAUGGCAGCCAUUCUUACACAAAGACAUCUGUGAGUUUGGGUGGGAUCUUGUUAACUAUCUCCAAUUAGGCUAAGUGAUAAACUCAAUUUGGGGUUCUUUCAGAAAAAAAAAUAAAAGGCUAAUUCAAUAAAGCCCAACGGUGAUUUCAUAAGAACUUCCACCCCACCUGCCCAGUCCAGGAAACAUGACCAGGGUAGCCAUGGCAAUUUGCACUCUGCAGCUAAAUUGUCUCUUUUCUAAAUUGCCAUAUGUACAAACUCUGCCUCUGGAGGAAGUUCCCUGUUACUUGCAAUCCAAGAAUAAGCUAUUUACAGUGAAGACACUGGUACUGUUUAGUAGCAAAAAGAGAGAAGGCUAAAUUAACGAGAAUAUACAGGAGGACUUGGUCCGCUAUCACUCUCUGUAUCCGCCACCACAGGGAAGGGCCAGACACAACCAGACUCUCACCUGGCUCCACCCUGGCACUUUCACUUAGGAAACACUACAGGAAACAAUAAAUUUUCCAUUUUGAUUUAAAAUGGGGCUUUUCUCCAUCUCUUGUGGUUAACAUUUUAAAAGUUUUUUUUUUUUUUUUACUCAAUUCUGACUAUAUGGUCAACAUCCUAAAAAUCUGUCUUUUUUUUUUUUUUUUUUUUUUUUUUUUGGAUUUGAGAAUCUUGCUAUGUACCCUGACUUGGUCUGGAACUCUUUAUAUAGACCAAUCAAGCUGACCUGGAACUCACAGAGAUUUCCUGUCUUUGCCUCCUGGGUGCUUAAAUUAAAGGGGUAAACUACCAUAAUACACUUUUCUCUUUAAUUAUGGUAAAAAUACAAACUUAAAACUUAUGUCAGCUGGGCAUGGUAGUGCAUGACUUUAAUCCCAGUACUAGGGAGGCAGAGGCAGGAGGAUAUCUGUGAGUUGGAGGCUAACCUCUAUAGUUCCAAAACAGUCAGAGCUAUAUAGUAAGACUCUAUCUCAAG
This 6485-nucleotide long non-coding RNA is filed under the name Mus musculus (house mouse). Its description in RNAcentral is "HEATER_TCONS_01581365". The record is from RNAcentral. Lineage: Eukaryota; Metazoa; Chordata; Mammalia; Rodentia; Muridae.